This 149-nucleotide unclassified non-coding RNA is filed under the name soil metagenome. RNAcentral's name for it is "partial internal transcribed spacer 1". The record is from RNAcentral.
CAUAAUAAGUGUUUUAUGGCACUUUUUUAAAUCCAUAUCCACCUUGUGUGCAAUGUCAGUCGAUCUCUUCAUGGAGAUCGACCAAACAUCAACCUUUAUCUUUUAACUCUUUGUCUGAAAAAUAUUAUGAAUAUAAACAAUUCAAAAUA